RNAcentral lists this long non-coding RNA (571 nucleotides) under Arabidopsis lyrata. Its description in RNAcentral is "long non-coding RNA (ALYR_LNC000623)". Lineage: Eukaryota; Viridiplantae; Streptophyta; Magnoliopsida; Brassicales; Brassicaceae. The record is from RNAcentral.
GUCCUGUCUUCAGAAAGUUAAAAAGGACACAGAGAGAGGUCUAUUGAAUCAUACAUAGAAAUUAAGGCAGAUUUUUCAUAUAGAGAUAAUUUAGUAGGUGGGAUUUUCCGUUUAGCCCAUGGCAUACUUCUGAGUCCAGCUCCGUGCAGUGGACUCGUACUUGUUCUUGUCAGUCUUGUACAUGUGAGCUAUCUCAGGCACCAAAGGAUCAUCCGGGUUUGGAUCGGUUAACAAAGAACAGAUCGAUAGCAGCACCUGUUCAUUGCAAAGCAGUUCUUAGAACAGCUCGGAAACAAACAACCAAUUUUCAUCCUCAAUGAGUCUAAGCUUAAUGCUUCAGAGAUAACUAAAAUCCUCAGAGUUAUACCUUCUAAUGGGAAAAGAUGAGCAAAAGAGGAGAAGAUAACCGAAAUGAGUCAAAGUUUAAUGAAGACAGCUCAAUGUUAUCACUUCAACCAGGAAUUAAGGAGCAAAAGCAAGUGUGAUAGAUUAUUGCUUCUGAAGCUGUUUUAAUAGAGAGUAUCUGCAUAUUGUUUGUUAUGGUGGGUUUCUAACGUUUACAGAAAAGAAG